This 135-nucleotide unclassified non-coding RNA is filed under the name uncultured Ascomycota. Its description in RNAcentral is "sequence contains ITS1". The record is from RNAcentral. Lineage: Eukaryota; Fungi; Ascomycota.
CAGAGUUGCAAAACUCCUAACCCUUUGUGAACGAACCUACUAGUUGCCUCGGCGGCGAGCCCCCUUGGAGCGGACCGCCGGAGGAAUACAAACUCUUUGCAUUAUAGUAUCUCUGAUUACUUAUUCAAUAAGUUA